Molecule: ribosomal RNA, 253 nt
Filed under: uncultured bacterium
Lineage: Bacteria
Description: partial 16S ribosomal RNA
Rfam family: Bacterial small subunit ribosomal RNA
Source: RNAcentral
UACGAAGGGGGCUAGCGUUGCUCGGAAUCACUGGGCGUAAAGAGCGUGUAGGCGGCCUUUUAAGUCCUGCGUGAAAUCCUGCGGCUCAACCGCAGACGGUCGUGGGAAACUGGAAGGCUAGAGUGCGGGAGAGGAGAGUGGAAUUCCCGGUGUAGCGGUGAAAUGCGCAGAUAUCGGGAAGAACACCCGUGGCGAAGGCGGCUCUCUGGAACGCAACUGACGCUGAGACGCGAAAGCGUGGGGAGCAAACAGG